CGGGACGGGUGAGUAAUGUAUGGGGAUCUGCCUGAUGGCGGGGGAUAACUACUGGAAACGGUAGCUAAUACCGCAUAAUGUCUACGGACCAAAGCGGGGGACCUCCGGGCCUCGCGCCAUCAGAUGGACCCAUAUGGGAUUAGCUAGUAGGUAAGGUAACGGCUUACCUAGGCGACGAUCCCUAGCUGGUCUGAGAGGAUGAUCAGCCACACUGGGACUGAGACACGGCCCAG
Molecule: ribosomal RNA, 233 nt
Filed under: uncultured bacterium
Lineage: Bacteria
Description: partial 16S ribosomal RNA
Rfam family: Bacterial small subunit ribosomal RNA
Source: RNAcentral